UACAGAGGUCUCAAGCGUUGUUCGGAUUCAUUGGGCGUAAAGGGUGCGUAGGCGGCGCGGUAAGUCGGGUGUGAAAUCUUGGAGCUUAACUCCGAAACUGCAUUCGAUACUGCCGUGCUUGAGGACUGGAGAGGAGACUGGAGUUUACGGUGUAGCGGUGAAAUGCGUAGAUAUCGUAAGGAAGACCAGUGGCGAAGGCGGGUCUCUGGACAGUUCCUGACGCUGAGGCACGAAGGCCAGGGGAGCAAACGGG
Molecule: ribosomal RNA, 253 nt
Filed under: uncultured bacterium
Lineage: Bacteria
Description: partial 16S ribosomal RNA
Rfam family: Bacterial small subunit ribosomal RNA
Source: RNAcentral